Molecule: non-coding RNA, 5650 nt
Organism: Ictidomys tridecemlineatus (thirteen-lined ground squirrel)
Lineage: Eukaryota; Metazoa; Chordata; Mammalia; Rodentia; Sciuridae
Source: RefSeq, a predicted model, not a curated record
GCCCUCAGCACAACUGCGCUCACCUGUCCCAUGUGACACCAACAAGAACCUGGCGGAGGGGACUGUCCCAAAGCCCAGUGAGAACCUGAAGUAGUCGUUCAUUGACCUGAGCCUGGCCCUAGAGGUCUUUAAGGGCACAAAUUAAACUCAAACCACGAUCGAUGGGGUCAAUGCGUGGCGCCAACCAUGCAGAUGUUGAAACUGAGCUGGAAAGGUCAGGUUCCUGCCCAGAACUCAUUAUGCAGAAAACCCCAAUCCUGAUCUCUUCGCUUGCAGCAUAUUUAAGGGGAAAUCUAACCAUGUGCCCCUGUUGUCAGAGGGCUGGUGGCCUUUCAGCCCAAAGUUGAAUUCAAAGACAAUUUUCUCAGGUUCCAGGUGGACCUUGAAGGUAGAGUAAGAGCAGUUCUUGGUUAUUUUCUGGCCUUUUAAUCCCAUCACCACUCCCCCUUAGUAAUCCCAUCUCAGGUUGGCAGAGCAGGCCCCAAAGCCAUCUGAGUCAUAGGUGUGACCAGUGUACUGUCCAGUGGUCUAGAGGCCUGGGUUCCAGGUGCUGCUCUCUGAAUUGGCCAUCUUGGCCAAGUCAUGAAGCACUCCUGAGCACUGACAAUAGAGUUUUGGUCAAAGAAAUCACCGUAGUCCUACGUCUGGUGGAACUGAGAUGUGGUGUUGUUUCUGUAGCCCCUGCCUGGGGCCGGGCAGCUCAUUCUUCUAUCUGGGGUAUGAGUGAACCAGCCAGGGGCAGUCUACCAGUGGGAUCCUCCUGCCUGGACCCCAGGAAAAGGGUCAACAUAGGGAGAUCUGAGGGUUGUCUCAUUGGGGUGAGGGUUUGGGAGUGGGCUUGAUCAGAGAGGAUUUCUACUUGUUGGUGAGAUGAAGAGAGCAGGCCAAUGUAGAGGGUCCUAUCUGCCCCUCCCCUGCUGUGGACACUUGGGAAAUCAUUGAACUCUGUGGACUUGUUUCUCCAUCUGCAAAAUGGAUGUUUUCAUAGUAAUAAGAGUCAAGGUUGAGAUUAAAUGGGAGAAGAUAUAUAAAGGGCCUGAUGAUCACACAUUUCAAUCCCUACCUUUCAGAGUUGAUUAUAUGGCUGGAUGAGUGUGAGGCUGGGGAAUUGAGGCCUGGUCCUCCAGAGUCCUGAAUGUCCUGCUGGGGUGCCUGGGCUUUCUGCCCCAGGCAGAGGGAGCUAAAGAUGAUGUGAGCAGAGGGAAGCAGUGGUACCUCGCCUGGGAGCCCUAGCCUGCUGGGGGUAAUGACAGGGCCCAGCCCUGGAGAAAGGUCCCUCUGGACCACAAACAUAGGAGCUGCUUGACCUGGCAAGCUCAUUCAUAGAGAGCUCAGCACACACAUGAAGUGCACCUGUGUGAGACCAGGAGCGACCUCUGGGGCCACCCCGGGGGCUGCUAACACACUGUGGCCUAUGCACACGGUGAAGAUGGUACAGCCUUUACUGGGAUACUGGCAGCUGGGGAUGUGCUGGCACAGAAAGGGCUCUAGACCCAGAAAAAGACACACCUGAGGGCAGUGGUGUGCCAUUGUCCAGGGGACAGAAGUGCAGACUAGUUCUGGACUCCCAGGAAGAGCCCCUGGCCAAGGCCGCCUCCAGGAAAGGAUCUGGGAGCUUCAGGGCCAGGGUGGGGCCAGCUCUACCUUUCCACUGCCAUCCCUGGGGACCUGAAGUUCUGAGCCACACGCAUGAGUUAUGAUUCAAAGCACAGGUGAGUGAUGGGCCCUGAGGUCUAGACCAAGCUUGGCCACACGGAUACAGAAAGGGGACAGGCCAGGACAUCCUGGAGCUCUGGGUUUGGUCCUGGCUGUUUGCCUACUUCCUCUUCCUAGGUGGCCCUAGGGAAAGCUGUGGGUUCUUUCCUGUCUUUCCUUACUCUUGGGGUCGUUUUGGCCCUGGGGUGUUUUCAUAUUGUGGCUUGUUAAAUAGGGGUACGGUUGGUUGAUGGGGUCACAUUUGAAGAGGCACCUACUGUGGUAGGUGGUGCAGGGGACAAGCCUGGGGCUGGCAGUCAGGAGACCCGGGCUCAAGACCUCACCUGGCCUCUCCCUGCCUGCAUGGUUCUGGAUCACCAUCACUCUGCUUCCCCGUGCCUCAGUUUCCCCAUCUACACGUGGGGGGUGGGGGUUAUAAACCAUGGCUAUGCAUGCACCUAAUGGGCCUAGCUACACGAGCCUGCCAUUGCCACUCCUCCCUCCCCAGUGUGCAGUGAGGUCACAGUCCUUGCCCUGCCUCCUUCCUGAAUGGUGGGGUCAGGAAGUUGAUGGCAGUCAACUCUUGACAUUUCCAGUGAUAGACAGCUACAAAUGUGCCAAUUUAAAAUGCCUCUGAAAUAACAGCUAACAUUUGCUGAGGCCAGGCACCGCCUGGAGGACUUCAUGUUUUCACUGCCUCCUUCCUGCUCCCCAGAAUGUAAACUCCAGCGGCCAGGGAUAUUUGUUCUGCAUGCUGAUGUCCACGGUGCUCAGCACACAGCAGGCGCUCUGCAGAGAGGAGUGGGGUGAACAGAUCUCGACGUGGCCCUGCGCAGUGGGUCUGGAAUUCUCCCUAAUUCAUUAAAGAGGAAACUGAGGGCCUCAGGUGAUGUGUGUGGCCAAUAAUGAGCAACCAAUCCAUGGGGCUGCUGUUGGGUCCCACACAUUCAGGGUCCAGAACCCACACUUUUAGCCAUAAUGCUCCCCCGAGAGAAGGGUGAGAGUCAAGUCUGACAGGCGGGGGCGUCUCCUCCACACCAGCCUCCCUCAGAGCUCUCCAUGUGUGUCCCAGCAAAGUGGCGCUUGGUUUCAGGGGUUUGCUGUAACUUAUGGGUGUCUGACAUGCAGAGGUCAUGUCACUGGGUGGCUGAGCCUAACAGACUCCAGGGCACAGAAGAAUGUGUGUGGAGUGCAACCCAGGCCCUUGCUCCUGGAGCCAGCACUGUCAUAAGUAAUGGCGCCGUCCCCUUUGCCUGAUCCUCCCUGUGUGAUCUUCACCAUGGGCCAGGCCCACCUCACAGAUGGAGGCCGACUCAGACAGGUCUAGUGACCUUCCCCAGGCAACAGGUGCAGAGAGUGGCGGAGCAGGGUUCUCUGUGAAACAAAAUCCUGCCUGAAAAGCCAAUGAUCUAAAAGUCACUGUCCCCUGUGAUUUGAGCAUAGAAGGUCUGUGCCCAUGGAGACCUUACUGGAUGGACUCUUUUUCCUCUUCAGUUUUUGUCCAUCAGUUGAUUUUCUGCAGCGCUGUUAGCUCCAUUCUUAAAAACAAACAAGAACAACAGCCUCUAGGGCUCUGUCACUUUCCUGUUUCUUGUAGCCGAGGUCCUCGCUAGGCAGUGCUGUCCGCGUGGUGGCGCACUUGCUGACGCAGAGCCCUCUGUGUGGCUCUAUUUAGGGCAGAGGCAAUUUAGCAUAAAUCCUGCAGGAGAAAUUCAACAAGAACAAAAAGCCUCUGAGAAAAAUAUCCCAGCAGCCUGCCCAAGAGCCUUUGUCUCAGUAACUAUGGUUUCUGGGUAAACUAAGAAACCACUCAGAAGAAUUUUUAUUUUAAUAAGGAAGCUAAAACAAAGGGUUAAGGAUGGCCUUAACUUGAUAAGCACAUUUAUUUUGAUUUUUUUUUUACUUAAAAUACUAGAAUAUGGAGAAUUAAAGUAAAAUGUAUUAAAAUAUUCCCUCUGGUUACACAAAACAAAACGCUUCUCUGGUGCUACAGCAGAGGAGCUAAGUAGGAAAAGAGAACACGGUGGCCACCUAACAGGGGCCAAGCUGACCUGGCCCAUGUCCUGCCUGACCCCAGGCGGUUUGGGGUCUCCUUUGGAGGGCUCUAGCUCUAACAGAAGUCCUAAGUGUGCUUCCAGGCUUGGCAGUGCCACUUAAUGGCCAUGGCACACCGUCUUUUGUCCCUUCCUGUGGGAUGGAAUGGUGAUCUGCUUCAAGUGGGGCAUGUGGUUUCUUAGUUUACCCAGAAACCAUAGUUACUAAAACAAAGGCACAGAUUUGGGACCUGUGCAUCUGAGAGCCCCUGGUAGAGAUGGCCAUGGCCCCCAGUGGUGAGCAGUAAUGAGACUGGACCCAGCGGCAGGGGAGCUCUCCAGGGUGCUAAAAGUGUCCUUUGCAGAUUCCGGGAGCUGCCAGUGAGGAUGUCAUUCAUGGAGCACUACUUUGUGCUUGCCACCUGGCUCCCUCUGCAGCAUUAUCUUGUUAACAUACAACGUCACUAUCUGGGCUUUGCCACCUGCUCCUUAAUGCCCUGACCCUGCCUAACCUGCAUGUGGCCAGCCCACCUCUGUCCUGGGGCUCCUGCACAUGUGACCUGGCAGUUGCAGCACCACUCCCCCCACCUGCUGGACCUAAGGCUUACUGUGUCUCCUGCCCAGAAAGCCCAAGUAGGCAAGUUGGCGAGGGAACUUGGAAACCCAGAAGCUGAUAUGGUUGAGUUGGGGGUUCUAAGGCCAUACUUUGAUUAUCUCCACCAUUUUUGCUGCAUGCAUGUUUGGUUUAGGAGAAUAUGAAACUGAGACCUGAGACAGGGACAUCUGGGCUGUUUUUCUGUAACUCCCAACCCCUAUAGUGAAUUGUUGCAAUUUUUGAUAUGUUGUCUGCCUUCUCCAUCAGAUAAUGAGCCACUGGAAGGCAGGGCCUGUGUCUAGCCUCCAGCCAUCCAUGGGGACUUGACCACAGUGAGGGCUCUAAUACUUGGUAAGUCCAUAAAUGAAAUGUACUUGCAGCUUGGAUUUCUUCCUGAGAACUGGCUCAGUGCAGGAAGGGCCUGUGUCGUAACAUCCCAUACUGACUAAGCACUUACUGGGGCCUGGCUCUGUUCUCAGGACUGCACAAAAUUUGUCACAGUCAAUGCUCACUACAACCCACGAGGUAGUGACAACUGCGAUCCUCAUUUAUGAUUGCAAGACUGAGGCAUGGGCUACUAAUAAUUUGCCAAAUUCCACAGGUGGGAGCAGGGCUGGUACAGGAACCCAGGGUUGGCAUCUGUCAAGCUCAGAAGUCAGCCCUCUGCCUGCUGCACCCCAGCACCACAGCCAGGUCCCGCCCCACUGUGAACCCAGCAACUUACACCUUGGUCUGCAUCCUGCAGCUUGGACAGGAGGGAAGGUCCUGACUUCCACACCUGCAGGUGACCAUGGAGCUGCCCAGUCUCCCCUCAAGUGGACGAUCACUGGUGCUCUGCAGAGUUGCUAGGAGGUGCUGAAGGGUGUGGAGGCGCCUGCGUUUCCUGUGGACGUGUGGAGAUUCGUGGACCUCAGCUGACGUGGGACCUCCCGAGUUGGGCACUGACCCUCCAGCUGACAGCACAGAGCCCCCUGAGAGUGUGCUUGUGGCCAGAGGAGGCUUAGUGAGUCCCCAAAUCAGGCUGAGCCCUUUUCUGAGACCAGCUUUUUCAAACCCACCUCCUUUGUUCUCCGUCAGGACCAGGGUCUCCAGGAAGUGAAGCUGAGGGCCAGGGCCUGGAGAGGAGACAGGUGCCCCUGGGGUGCUGGGCUGGAACCCUCCCAGAGGUGCCUUCUGGAUGGCUGGGCGGGAUUGCCGCCUUACUUACUUGGAGAGGCAGGGAGGGAGGGAGCUCAGCCCCACCGACUCCUGCCUCCUGGCCCCGGAAGACAGGUUUUGGACUUUGAGGUCUAGGAUUGUGAGAGAAAUAAAUUUCUGUUAUUUGUGA